GGGGAGCAGCCCAGAGCCUGAAUCAGUAUGUGUGUUAGUGGAAGCGUCUGGAAAGGCGCGCGAUACAGGGUGACAGCCCCGUACACAAAAAUGCACAUGCUGUGAGCUCGAUGAGUAGGGCGGGACACGUGGUAUCCUGUCUGAAUAUGGGGGGACCAUCCUCCAAGGCUAAAUACUCCUGACUGACCGAUAGUGAACCAGUACCGUGAGGGAAAGGCGAAAAGAACCCCGGCGAGGGGAGUGAAAAAGAACCUGAAACCGUGUACGUACAAGCAGUGGGAGCACGCUUAGGCGUGUGACUGCGUACCUUUUGUAUAAUGGGUCAGCGACUUAUAUUCUGUAGCAAGGUUAACCGAAUAGGGGAGCCGAAGGGAAACCGAGUCUUAACUGGGCGUUAAGUUGCAGGGUAUAGACCCGAAACCCGGUGAUCUAGCCAUGGGCAGGUUGAAGGUUGGGUAACACUAACUGGAGGACCGAACCGACUAAUGUUGAAAAAUUAGCGGAUGACUUGUGGCUGGGGGUGAAAGGCCAAUCAAACCGGGAGAUAGCUGGUUCUCCCCGAAAGCUAUUUAGGUAGCGCCUCGUGAAUUCAUCUCCGGGGGUAGAGCACUGUUUCGGCAAGGGGGUCAUCCCGACUUACCAACCCGAUGCAAACUGCGAAUACCGGAGAAUGUUAUCACGGGAGACACACGGCGGGUGCUAACGUCCGUCGUGAAGAGGGAAACAACCCAGACCGCCAGCUAAGGUCCCAAAGUCAUGGUUAAGUGGGAAACGAUGUGGGAAGGCCCAGACAGCCAGGAUGUUGGCUUAGAAGCAGCCAUCAUUUAAAGAAAGCGUAAUAGCUCACUGGUCGAGUCGGCCUGCGCGGAAGAUGUAACGGGGCUAAACCAUGCACCGAAGCUGCGGCAGCGACGCUGAUGCGUUGUUGGGUAGGGGAGCGUUCUGUAAGCCUGCGAAGGUGUGCUGUGAGGCAUGCUGGAGGUAUCAGAAGUGCGAAUGCUGACAUAAGUAACGAUAAAGCGGGUGAAAAGCCCGCUCGCCGGAAGACCAAGGGUUCCUGUCCAACGUUAAUCGGGGCAGGGUGAGUCGACCCCUAAGGCGAGGCCGAAAGGCGUAGUCGAUGGGAAACAGGUUAAUAUUCCUGUACUUGGUGUUACUGCGAAGGGGGGACGGAGAAGGCUAUGUUGGCCGGGCGACGGUUGUCCCGGUUUAAGCGUGUAGGCUGGUUUUCCAGGCAAAUCCGGAAAAUCAAGGCUGAGGCGUGAUGACGAGGCACU
This 1277-nucleotide ribosomal RNA is filed under the name Escherichia coli. Its description in RNAcentral is "partial 23S ribosomal RNA". It matches the Rfam family "Bacterial large subunit ribosomal RNA", at positions 292 to 1578 of the family's 2925-position model. The record is from RNAcentral. Lineage: Bacteria; Pseudomonadati; Pseudomonadota; Gammaproteobacteria; Enterobacterales; Enterobacteriaceae.